Long non-coding RNA from Anolis carolinensis (green anole), 817 nucleotides. RefSeq lists it as uncharacterized. The transcript has 3 exons. The record is from RefSeq and is a predicted model, not a curated record. Lineage: Eukaryota; Metazoa; Chordata; Lepidosauria; Squamata; Anolidae.
UUUACUAUGGCUAGGGAGCUAAAUAAGGCAUGUUUCUUUAGGUUCACUGGGAUACUUUAUGUUUCUUUAAUUAUAUAAAAAAGUGAACAUUCACCAUCCUUACCAGGCACAGAGCUUUUUUGGGAAGGGGGGAUAGAAGGAGGGAAAGUGAGAAAAUUAGGAAAAAGGAAGGCUAUUCAUACUCCAAGUCAAUGAAAGAAAUAUAUAGUGCUUCGAGGUUCGUCCUAGUUAAGAAAGAAUUAUGUGGUGAGAAGAAGAGAGAAGGAGAAAUAGAAAAUUGGGAUUGGUUGAAUAAGCUGUAUCUUAGAGGGUUGAAAAUGUCAUCUGCAAUAAGGUCCAACACCUACACAUUCAAGACGUAAAAAGGGAAGUAAUGAUGUUAUAAGGCACAUGGGGAUGUCACAGUGAUAGGUGAUGUCAUAGUGUGCAUUGAUGAUUUCACAAAUACAAAUAACACAGGCUAGUGUUGAGACUGACUACCUCUACAGAUGCAUAGUUGCUUAAUGAAGAGCGGUGAGCAACAAGAGAAGAACCUGAUGAAAAAGUAGGAAGAUGAGAGUAGGGCCAAAGGAAAAAUGGUGAAGAAGACACUUAUAAGCAACUGUGUGUUCAGAAGCACAAGGAAGGCGCUGGUAGCUGAUGCUGUUAUAAAGAUUUCUUACAUAAACACAUCUAAUUUCAGAAGCAUAGAAAUGUUGAAUUGUAGAAUUGAAAAGGAGUCCAGAGGUCACCUUACUAUUUUUUAAUGAUGUUCGGCAAAGGAAGCCUGAAAACUAAUAUUUAAUAUACUAUUAAUAAAAAUAUCAUUGAAAUGGAA